UAUAGAAAACAUUGGAAUCUUCUCUUACUUUCUGCAUUGCUUCAUUCUGGGUGUAUUUAAUUUAUAUGUGGAAAUAUUUUACCGGGGGCAAAAUAGAUAGCACAAAGUUUUUACGCUCCAUCGGUGAGUAGCAACUAUUGAAGCCAAAUGCACUGCAAACAAGUCACAGGGCAUAUGCUAUAUGCACAAGCGAAAAUGUGGUAACUGAGAGAGCAUGAUGGUGAUGGUUGUGUAGCCAUGAUAUACUCAGCCAACCAGUUUGUGCUUGUUGCUUUUUAAAGUAGAUUUCGUUCAGCCAGUAGCUUUAAGCAAAUGAACAUACCUGCCUAAAAGACAAAAGGUAGGGAAGGGCUAAUCAGAUGACAAGACUGAUCAGGUGUGUUCUCUGGGAGGGGAAAUAGGUGAGCGUUACAUGAAUGGGGUCAUAUACAUAAUAAAGCAGCUUAACAACUCUUCUCUUUAGGCAGGUUUUUCUGUAUGUUCCCCAUCCCCUUCUGCUCGAUGUAUGGCAUCAAAAAUUUAGGGAUUUCAAGAUUACUUUUACUCUUUGUCCUACCCUCUCUUAUUCUCAGCAUGAACUGACAUCAGAAAAACAUGUCGGAUUUACAAAAGUCAGUAAGAAACCUUACUAACAUCAUCCAGUGUCCCAUAUAAUAACUGGGGACUGUUUAGAAAAAGAGCUAUCAGAAUAUUUGAGAUCUAGGAAAUGUGCCUUGGAAUGAAAGAGUUUGGUCUAUGUUUAUUGAAGAGAAUCUCAACAGGUGACUUGAUCAGUCUAUAGGUACCUAUGUAGGAAGAAUAUUUCUAAUAUUAGAGGUUUCUUUUGUCUCAGUCAAGCAGUGUUACAAGAUCCGAUGGCUGGAAGAUUGUUAGAAAACUUCAAAACGGAAAUAAGAUGACCAUUUCUACAGUGAGGGCAAUUAACCAUUGGAACAGUUUACCAAGAGAGAUUGGAAAUUCUCCAUCACUUGAAGUCUUUAAAGUCUCUCUAAAUGAUAUAUUCUAAUUCAAUCACAAGUUAUUGGGCUUGAUGCAAGCAUUAUUGGUGAAAUACUAUGAUUCUCAUGAUGUAGGAGGUUCAGAUUAGCUGACCAGAAUGAGCCCUUUUCGCUUUAAAAAUCUAUGAAUCCACAACACACAUCACAGAUAAAACAGGGUUAUUAUCCACAAAAUACCAUGAAAGCUUGAGUUCAUUGAUCCAUCCCACUCUUUCAUAUGCUACACAUGGCAUAAAUGCAAACUAUUUUUUACUCUUGGAAACUGAGUUACUUUAAAGUACUGGGACAUUAUUUAGUGUGUCACUUAUAUAUAACCUGGCAGGAAAAGACCCUUCUGUUUUUUAAAACACAUGGUGGUGGCAAUGGUGCUUUUAUUAUUAAUAGAAAAAAUAUUAUUAAUCAUCUAUAUUGCUGCUAACAUUACUAAUGUGUUCUCUUUCUGUUUUCUCUUUAGCUUCCCCUUACUCCUAUAUUCUGCUAGUGUGAGAUCUGUCUCUCCCUCACCCCAUCUUGACCCAUUAUCAAUUGUUUCUCCUCUCCUAUACUUUCUCCAAGAUACUGGUGUUCCAUGGAACCAGUGAGUUCUCCUGAGUAGCAGCUUGUCAAAGCAUCUACAGAUCUACCUUCUCCUGACUGACAGUCUCGGUUAAAAGUUGAAAGAAGUAUCACUUUGAAAACGUGAUGUGCAGGUGCCUGUGUAGCUGCACAGAAAGCUGUGAUAAAAGAUUGGACACUGAGCUCCAGAAUGGACUGUCCACGAAGACCCAGUUUCAGUAUCCCUGGUACCCACGAUCAGUACUGGAAAGAGACCGGCCCAGCGUUAGCAGGGAUCCAGUGCUAUCAUCUUUAGAAAUAUGAACAGGAAUAACUUGCAAACAGACUCUUUGAGAAGAGCUAUAAAAAAUCCAGUUGCAAUGAAUACUAUAAAUUAAAGAGAGAGAGCCUGUGAAAUAUACAGCAUAAUUUGGCAGUAGAAGUCUUCUCUCAAAAACAAGUUUAAAACUCUGUUCUUAACUAAAGUCUUGGGAUUUUAAUUUUUAUGGGGCCUGGAAGACUACUUUGAUCCUCUUAUUUUCAGUAGUAAAACAGAAUGCUGUGUUUCUGACAGGCACAUGGACUACUGAUUUUUAGAAAAAAUAUUUGUCUUCCAGACUUUGUUCCAAAUCAGUGAAAUAACUUUUGAAGAAUUACACAUGGUAAUCAGUACUUGUUAAUGGGAGAAUUUAUAAACUGAAUACCCUUAGCUCUGAAAUGACAGACUCUAAAUAAUGACUAAUAAAUCCUGAAACACGUCUCUAUUUUAAUCUAUCCACUAUGUAUUCUUAGCUCUUCAGAAAUAUUAUAAUCAAGUGUCAUUUUCUGUAAUUAUUAAAACCCUGACUUUAAGAUUGCACAUAGUUCAGGACCUCUGUCAAAAUCGAUAUAGCACUAAGAAAUGGAGCAGAUUACAGGCUGUAUUUGUUUUUGAUCUAAUUUUUUUUGAUAUCUCUAUCCUUCAUUUCACUUUUUUUGUUUGUUUUUUCUUCCCUCCCCUGCAUAGGAAGCCCUUACUUGGGAUUACAGGAUUGGGAAUUUAUGUGACAUUUUGGAUUCAGUAACAAAAGAUAUUAAGUCUUUAGCAGAUCACUGCAAUUGUAGAGUAUUUAGCAAAACCAUCAAUACUGAAUGGAGCAUAUCACUUACAGUCAGGCAUGGCUUCACUGGGAGUUUUGGCUGUAUCAAGAUUGCAAGCUUGGACAUUUCAUCUCUUCCUUCCAUUUGUAUUCUUUGUGGCGCACUCCACCCCCUUUUUUGCUGACGCUACUCAUUUUGAUUUUUGUAGUUGGAGCCAUUAUUAUUUUGUUUCAAGGGAAGUAAUUUAAUUUUAAAAAACAAACAAACAUAAAUAAAUAAAGCUAGCACUGCUGCUUUCCUAUCUUUAAAUGAAUGAGCCAAUUACAGGAAGAAAAACUACCUCAUAUGUUAAAUUACUCACUCUUCAAAAUGAAUACAGAAGAAACCAAAAGGGAAAGGAUUUUAAGGAUUCAAAAUAAGAAUUUGGAAAACAUACUCCGAUUCCUUCAGUGUAAUGAAUCACAUUAGCUUUGCUAACUGAAGGUCACACAUAACCAUAAAUCCAUAGUAAAAGGGCUAGGUCAUAAACUAUUUCUUUUACACUUGGCUUCCUACUAACAGCUACUAGAAAUGAAUUAUGUGGCCAAUUAUUAUGUACAUGGUAAUAGCUGACAUUGUAUAACGUCUGCAAUUUUCCAUUAUACCAAAUAAGCAAAAAUUCAAAUGUAAAAUGCCAAUACAUACAGCCAUUUUCCAAUACAAAGUGCUUCCUUUUCAAGGCUCUUUAGUUUUUUCUGAUGCUUAUGAGUGCGAGUCUCCUUUUCUGUUCAGUCUAAGCACUCAUAAUUCAGCUCGUGGUUUUUCAGUAUGCAAAAUGGAUGCACUCGAUCUGUCUGCAAUUACACUCAAGGAGGCCCCCUGAAAAUCUGACCCAUCUGAGUAGGCUUUGUGAAUGGCCCUAGUGGCCUUGUUGCAUUUUGCACUAUAGUGUGCAGCAGCUCCAGGUUUAGGAAUGACUGUAGCUUGCUCCUCCUGAGCAGGUGGAUCUUUGAAGCUUCUCAGAAGGGAGACUGUUGGGUUCAUGGCAGGAUGGCCACAGCUCCAUGACUGAACAGCAACGUUAUAGGAAGCGCUAGUCAGCUACUUUCCUCGCAAAAGGAAUAUGCUGUGAGUAUCCCUGUCGAAGUGAGAAGGUUCAUGAGGAGAAUAGUUCUCAACCUUAGAAGAAAAUGGACAGAGAUCCUUAAAAGCUUCAGUUGCAGAGAGAGGGAAAUCAGUGCAAAAUGUUUAAAUUGUAAAUAUGUUACACGUGUACUAACUAAAGCACGUGAGUGCCUUCUGGGACAUAGGCUUCAUUUUUAUAUUUCUCUAAACUUAGGUUCAUUGUACUGGUUUGAGUGGCAGAAUCUCAGAUAUAUAGAAAAUGGAAAAACUUCAAAAGUGAUUGUUACAGUCUCUGUUUGGGUAUGCUAGUCGCCCGAGGGAAUAAAAAUCACCUUCGUUUGUGCAUUUUGUGAUGGCAAAUUUGACAGUCUUUUGAGAAUUAGGGUGGGGUUUUUGGCUUGUUAUCUGAUUUAUUAAAAUAUAACAUUGUUAAACACAUUCGGCAUGAACUUCAAACUUUCGACUUCAGCUGCUAACAUUAAACCAAAAAUAAAACGCAUCCUUUGACUAUAGUUGUUGGACUUGGAUCAGUCACGCUUUGAAGAAGGAGGAGGUGUGUUCUGCAUAAAUCUGGGCUAGACUUAAA
This is a long non-coding RNA of Chelonia mydas (Green sea turtle), 4302 nucleotides long. RefSeq lists it as uncharacterized. The transcript is spliced from 4 exons. The record is from RefSeq and is a predicted model, not a curated record. NCBI's taxonomy places the organism in Eukaryota, Metazoa, Chordata, Testudines, Cheloniidae.